GACGAACGCUGGCGGCGUGCUUAACACAUGCAAGUCGAACGAGGUCCACCGCGUAGCAAUACAAGGGAAGACCUAGUGGCGAACGGGUGCGUAACACGUGAGGAACUUGUCCCGGUCUCUGGGAUAACAGUUGGAAACGACUGCUAAUACCGGAUGACGUCGGAAUCUCGCAUGGGAUACUGACGAAAGGGUUACUGGAUCGGGAGAGCCUCGCGGCCUAUCAGCUUGUUGGUGAGGUAACGGCUCACCAAGGCAUCGACGGGUAGCUGGUCUGAGAGGAUGAUCAGCCACACUGGGACUGAGACACGGCCCAGACUCCUACGGGAGGCAGCAGUGGGGAAUCUUGCGCAAUGGGCGAAAGCCUGACGCAGCAACGCCGCGUGCGGGAAGAAGGCCCUCGGGUUGUAAACCG
This 412-nucleotide ribosomal RNA is filed under the name uncultured bacterium. RNAcentral's name for it is "bacterial SSU rRNA". It matches the Rfam family "Bacterial small subunit ribosomal RNA", at positions 28 to 432 of the family's 1533-position model. The record is from RNAcentral.